Molecule: long non-coding RNA, 372 nt
Organism: Dendronephthya gigantea
Lineage: Eukaryota; Metazoa; Cnidaria; Anthozoa; Malacalcyonacea; Nephtheidae
Exons: 3
Source: RefSeq, a predicted model, not a curated record
GACUAUCUUAUGUCGACAUAUUGAAAGACUGGGAGAUCUCGCCACGCGAUCUGAAGGUGCUGAACAAGAAUCUAGGAGCUGGUCAGUUUGGAGUCGUGAAACAAGGCUUGUAUACACCUCAAGAUUGCGAACCAGAGAAAGUUGCCAUAAAAAUGUUGAGAGAGAACUCGUCGCAGUCGGAAUUAUCGAAUCUGCUGGCUGAAAUAAAGAUCUUGAAAGAAGCCAACAAGGAACAACACCCAAAUAUCAUACGAUUUGUCGGGAGCUGUUUGUUAGAAGGAAAACUUCUGAUGGUAACUGAGUUUUGUCCAGGAGGAAAUCUACGAACAUUUCUAAUCAAGAGUAGAGUUAAUGAUAACUCGACAGAUUCCC